Molecule: transfer RNA, 74 nt
Filed under: Alosa alosa (allis shad)
Lineage: Eukaryota; Metazoa; Chordata; Actinopteri; Clupeiformes; Clupeidae
Description: tRNA-OTHER
Source: RNAcentral
GCAGCCGUGGCCUACUGGUUAGGGCUUCAGGCUUGUAACCAAAGCAUUGCCGGUUCGAUCCCCGACCAGUAGGA